Molecule: ribosomal RNA, 253 nt
Filed under: uncultured bacterium
Lineage: Bacteria
Description: partial 16S ribosomal RNA
Rfam family: Bacterial small subunit ribosomal RNA
Source: RNAcentral
UACGAAGGAUCCAAGCGUUAUCCGGAUUUACUGGGUUUAAAGGGUGCGUAGGUGGGUUGGUAAGUCAGUGGUGAAAUACUUUCGCUUAACGAAGGAACUGCCAUUGAUACUACCAGUCUUGAAUGUAGUGGAGGUAGGCGGAAUGCGUCAUGUAGCGGUGAAAUGCUUAGAUAUGACGCAGAACACCAAUUGCGAAGGCAGCUUGCUACACUACUAUUGACACUGAGGCACGAAAGCGUGGGGAUCAAACAGG